Molecule: ribosomal RNA, 373 nt
Filed under: uncultured bacterium
Lineage: Bacteria
Description: bacterial SSU rRNA
Rfam family: Bacterial small subunit ribosomal RNA
Source: RNAcentral
AUACGGAGGAUCCAAGCGUUAUCCGGAUUUAUUGGGUUUAAAGGGUGCGCAGGCGGAAAGGUAAGUCAGUGGUGAAAUCCUACAGCUCAACUGUAGAACUGCCAUUGAUACUGCUUUUCUUGAGUAUAGCUGAAGUGGGCGGAAUGUGUCAUGUAGCGGUGAAAUGCUUAGAUAUGACACAGAACACCGAUCGCGAAGGCAGCUCACUAAACUAUAACUGACGCUCAUGCACGAAAGCGUGGGGAUCAAACAGGAUUAGAUACCCUGGUAGUCCACGCCGUAAACGAUGAUCACUCGAUGUUGGCGAUAUACAGUCAGCGUCUGAGCGAAAGUAUUAAGUGAUCCACCUGGGGAGUACGAUCGCAAGGUUGAA